AGAGUAGGAAGUUUUUACUUAUAAAAUGUUCAAACAAGAUUUUUAAUUCAUGUAAAAGGAACAAAAUAUGGAUCAAAUUUUUAAAUUUAUUUAUGCUUUGAUAAUAUCUCUUUCUCUAUUUUUUGUUGUAACCAACGCCCUAUGGCAAUGCAAAGAAAACGAUGAUUGUCCAAUAAAUAUGUGUGAGCCACAUCUACUUAUUCGAUGCAUUAAAUAUGUUUGUAAAUGUGUCUAAGAGAAAGUGUUCCCAUUUAUAUGAAAAAUAAUUAUAGCUUACUAAAAUCGUAUAAUUUAUUUGUACGUCAUAAUUCCUCCCACACUUUAAUUUAUGUUUAUUAUUUGACAAGUUCAAGAAUGUAUUUUUAUAUUAUACAAGUAUUGUUACAUACAUUCAUUAAUAUGAAAUAUUGAAAACAAAAAUGUCA
Vicia villosa (hairy vetch) is the source of this 425-nucleotide long non-coding RNA. RefSeq lists it as uncharacterized. The record is from RefSeq and is a predicted model, not a curated record. The transcript is spliced from 2 exons. Lineage: Eukaryota; Viridiplantae; Streptophyta; Magnoliopsida; Fabales; Fabaceae.